This 205-nucleotide long non-coding RNA is filed under the name Elaeis guineensis (African oil palm). RNAcentral describes it as "long non-coding RNA (EGUI_LNC045630)". The record is from RNAcentral. Lineage: Eukaryota; Viridiplantae; Streptophyta; Magnoliopsida; Arecales; Arecaceae.
CCACCGAACAAGGAUGAUUGUCUCUAUUCAUUGUAUUUUCUCUAAAAUGAUGAUGAAUAAUUAAGUUGGCAAUUGGUUUAUUGGCUUUACUUGAUUGUCAGUUUCAUUGUGGUCAGAAUUUUUUUAAAAAGAUUCAUAAAAUAGGGACAAUUGCCCUAGUUUCAUAUCCGUAGAGCCAUAGACCAUGAUUUCAUCUUCUGACAGC